RNAcentral lists this transfer RNA (66 nucleotides) under Drabescus ineffectus. RNAcentral describes it as "tRNA-Glu". The record is from RNAcentral. Lineage: Eukaryota; Metazoa; Arthropoda; Insecta; Hemiptera; Cicadellidae.
AUUUAUAUAGUUUAAAAAACAUUUUAUUUUCAUUAAAAAAAUAUUGACGAAAGUCAAUUAUAAAUA